CUGAAUUUGCUUACGAAUUACCUUUAGUAAAUACCAAAAUUGCAAUUUUUGCCAAAAAUCUGAGAUUAUGCCCAGAUUAUACAAUUUUAAUGCACGUUCAGAGCUUUUAUACAUCCUUUUGCCGUCUGAUUUGUGCUAUGGACAAAGAUAAAUGUGGAAAAUUAUGUAAAACCACCUGGUUGUAAAUUAUAAUGUUUGCAGUACCAAUUCCAUUCACACUAUCCCAUACGGCAUUUCUGCUUAAGCAACACUUUCUCUGCAGGACCCUCUGCAUGUUUAGUCAUGCUUGGCAGGUAUGGCAUAGACAAAUGUUUAAGUGGGAAUGGUGCAACUGCAAGUCUCACAAAACUCUCUCCUUAAACAUCUGUUUUUGAUAAAACUAUAUUUCCCUACUUCUUUAGCCACACUUUAGCAUUGAAUAUCAUUAUAUCCUAUAAUGGAUGAACCGGUUAAAAUUAUCUACCCUGUGGUUCCAUACAGAUGCAUUGAUAUCAUGUAGAGAUGUUACUGGGAGGCUGUACUGGGCUCAAGCCCUGGGUGGGGUCUGUAAGGACACCCUCUGACUCUGACUCUUAUGCAUCAAAAUGUUACCAUCCUCCCCCCUGCAGAAGCGUCAAUUUGUGAGAAGACUUACCAAUAUUGAUGCAUCAGCAUCAUCUUCACAUUGCUCUCCGCCUACCAGGCAGUCAAUCUGAAGGGUCGCUUACUGAUUUUGGUGCACGCACGUCAAUUUUUGACAAACUGUUGCAUCUAGGCGCAAUGUCAUUUUCAUCAGGUCACACGUGUCAUUCUGUCCUCAAUCUGUCCUAAAAUGAGGUGAGACACAAUCUUCCUGCCAUUAAUCCAUUAUUAGACGGCGUCCCGUUUGACGCACUGCACCUGCACAAGAAUGAUAAAAUCUGACACAAGGGUCCUGGUCCUGUUUAAACUACUCUAGCUUUUGGGCCUGUGCCCUUUUGUGGUCUCACGGCCCUUAAGUAAGUUCGUCAUUCCUGGCCAUUUGAUCCAGGCCCAGCUUGUCAUUGACUUAGAUUUUUCCGUCCUAUAUUCAAGUGUACCAGAGCAUCCCUUACUUUGUUUAUUGCCUUAUUCCAGUAUUCAAGUGUACCAGACACCGUUUGUCCUAGCUUUGCACAGUCUUAUCCAUUAUUUUGUAAGUGUUUAGCACUGAUACUUCCUAUUUAUGUCUAAGCAUUAAGCCCGGCCACUCUUAAGGUCCGGUAAUAUGCCUAUCUAUCUUUUCCCAUUGUGCCUUUGGUAGGUUGAUGACUUAAAUCUUGCAGAGGAUCCUAUCAUACCCUGAUAGGGUCCUGUAAAGCUCCUGGUCUGAUUUAGGCAUCUUUUCAUUGUUAAUCCCUACUCGCCUGUAAUAAAAAAAUAAAAAAAAAAAAAGGAAAUAGCAGCUCCGAUCACAUAAUAGGUGACCAUGCCACUGUAAUGCACCAUAUGUGAAAUUAAUUGUACAGCAUAGUGUGGAGAUAUUGCUGUGGUUGCAGGGUGCUAAUGCAGUGGGUUGAAGGUUAAUGCUUGGAUUAGCAAAUCUUUGAGGGGCCAGGGUUAACAUAGCACGGUGUGAUGUUCAAGGUGCAAGUGUGGACUUUAUGAAUAUAGUUUUUAUAGAAUGCUUUCAAUUCAUGCAAAGACUUGAGGUCAUAAUGAGAUUCAUAGAACAUGUUUUGGUUUAAGAUUGGACAUAGGGCACGGUUAGAUUAUAAACUCAAGAGCCAUCUAGCUUAGUAUGUUGUACAAACGGGCUGUAAAUGCUAAAUCUCAGCUCGCAGGCAGGGUCGUCUAUUCUGUUUCUAUUGGUUAUCUAUAAUGCACCACGAAAAGGGUAUAAUGAGAAUGGAAGAAGUAGUAGAGAAGAUAAAAAUUUGUGGGAGGACUUUAUGCAAGGUAGAUUGUGAAUAAGGAUUUUUACAUGUUUUUGAAAGAAAAGACUUUUAAGAUUUUAUCAAGACUUAAAUUGGUCAAAUUAACCCCACUUUGUAUCUAACCUGCUUUUAAAACAUAUUUUUAAUAUCUUCUAAAGAUGUCCUAAGGUGGUUUGCAUCUUCUCCCAUCAUGCUGUAUACGCAAGCAUACGUACACCUCUCCGUAAUUUAUUGGCACUUUAUAAAUAUAAUAAUGAGGGGGCUUAAGUCAAUAUAUGUGGGUUGUCAUACAAUUUACCCUAGGGUUGUCACCUCUUUUAUUUUUCCCACACAGCAACACCCCUUUUAUUAUGUUAUUUCGUCCACAGAGUUCUCGUGCAUGGGGAGGGCCUCCAGAACCUUUGGUCUACUGUUAGUCUCGUUACAUUGGCACUGAUUGCUUGUUUGAACUGUUUAGUUUCACAGGGAUUCUAUGCAUCAUAUUUUGUCCUUUUUCAGGGUUCCAUCUUGAACAUUGCAAUCUUUUCCUGCACAUUUGUAAAGAUUAAUUUAGUACAUUUUGCACCCAUGUAAAUGAGGUGCCUUGAGAACCUUCGUUGUUUGAUCCUAUCAUGAAUCUGUUAUAUAGUUGGUUUGCAAUUGUGGUCACUUAAUUCUAGUUAUAUCCUAUUUACAUUACUUGUGUUUUUAAGCAGAACUUCAACUAUUGCAUAAAAGCAAGAUACGUUCCCCUUGGAAGCUCCAGUACCAACAAGUCAGAGUAGAGUAAGGAAUAGUCAACACAAAAAUGCGUGAUCCCAAGGACCAACUCCUUUAUCCAUGGAGACUGGAUUAAAAACCCUGGAAAUAAAAGUCAGAUUUUUCUCUCCAGAUGUUGUGUACUACUUCUACCAUAAUGCUCUUACAGCAAUAAUGCUAGGGAAACAUUGGGGAGAUCUAGUCCACAACAGCUUGAGUGCCAUCUUGUAGAGGAACUUGAUCACCAUAAUCGUUCUACUUGGUAUUAGACCAACAUACCAGAACUACAGUUGUUCUUCCCAGUGCUGGUAAGGACCCAGACCUCUGACCAACCUGUAUACCAGGGAUAGGCAACCUUCGGCACUCCAGAUGUUGUGGACUACAUGUUCCAUGAUGCUUUACCAGCAUUGUGGCUGUAAGAGGCUUGUGGGAGGUGUAGUCAAAAACAUCUGCAGUGCCGAAGGUUGCCUAUCCCUGCUGUAUACCAAUCUAAUGAUUGUUGAUAUCAAAUUGUUUGUUAAAAACUAUACUUAUAUAUUCUUCACAAUCAGGUUGGGUUUCUCACUGUCCUCGAAACCAGGGAUAACACUGUGAAAAUAUUAAACCUUUUUCACAAAGCGUAUUCUGCUAAAAUAUUGUCUGUUCAUUUGAUCACAUGCAUUACACAGGCAGAUCUUGGUAUUCAUAAGCUUCACACAGCCUCAUGAACAUUCUUAUCACGUUCAAAUUGUCAUUCUACUCUCUGUGCCCUUUUAAGGGGAACCAUAGAAGGAACCAUAGGAAGAGGGCUGAUGAACCAAGGCUGAUCAGUUUGCCCAUAUCUUGGCUAGAACCUGAAAGCUGUAUAAUCCUCCAUACAAACAGCUUACUAAUCAAUAUCUCUGUCACCGUACAGAACAAAUGUUCUAACAGAGGUUCUCUGGUUUGGAUAAAAUGAACUAACUGAUGAAAUAAUGUUUCCCUGGGAGCUUACACACGUCUUUAUGUAUUUUUGAGAUGUGAUGAAAUAUAUGCAUUUUUAGAUACAAAUAUCAAAGAUUUUGCCUACUUAAUAAUAUGUCUACCAAACUGAUAUAUUAAUUGUAUAGCUAAUUUAGCUAAUACAAGCAUCUUCUUACAAUACAGCAUAGUACUUUUAACCUUGUAAGAUUCACCAAGCUUUGUUCAUAUAAAAUCAGUGUUUUCAGUCCCCUCUACCUUAAUCUCUAUUCAUUAUUUUAUUUAAAAAAAAAUUUAAUUCUUUAUUUUUGUCAUGCAUAAAGAUAUACAACAUAUCUGCCAUGCCUCAACAGCAUUAGCAAUCAUUUUAAGAUCUAUGACAUUGUAAGGUACAUGACAGAACACUGCAAGUCAUUCGAAAGAGCAUGCACAAAAUGAUUAAAGUAUUGAUGGAUUUAAUAGAGUAGUACUCAAACUAUACUAUGUGUGUCUGGUCAGAAUGCCUGGGUAAGCUAGGAAACAUAUAGUAUGACAGACACAGAGAUUAGAACACCUAAGAGGUGCCCAGAUACUUGUAACGUUUCAAGUUAUAUAAGUAGAGUGUGCCUAUCUAACGGCAUUGAGCUGACGAAUCACAAGAAAUUUUAAAUCAAAAGAGGAAACCAUAACUAUAAAAACAAUAAAAUGGAUAUCGACAGUGGAGGUGUCAGGCAAUGUUAAUCAGGCGUGUUAAUUAGAGGGAGAAUAACGCCAGCUGGUAGGAGUCCAGGUUUCGGAUCAGCCGAUGUCACUUUGGGGCUUAGCAGAGUGUUUUCGCAAAUCGGUUAUCAGGCACAUGAGCCCGAUAGUGGACCAUGGUAGUACCGUAGUGGAGUGUAGCGAUGAGCCCAGUUGUGACCCAAGAGGUACCUCUAGAAUGCCAGUCUGUCGGGAUAAUGCAGGGUUGAUCCCACGCCUAAGCUGACUUGUAGCUAGGCUACGCCCAGCUCCUGACGACUUGUGGUGGAUUAGACGUCUCCUCCAUUCUUGGGUUCACCUCUGUCCUGUAGCAACAUGCUGCUGGGGAUGCCGCAGGAACUUUUGAGUGGACUGGGUUUGCUUCUCUGGGACGUUGAAUCGUUGCUGGUGCUCACUGACCCUGUUCUGCAAUCUCUUCCAGAAGUCAGCAAAUAUUGUGUUCAACCUGGCUUCAUAUUCAAGUUGUGCAAUCCUGGGGUUAACGAGACACGCGGUCUCAGCCAUAUUGGAUGGCUUCUACAACUUUGAAAGGUUCGUACACCUGACUUGUUGAAUCUCGGUCGUCUCUCAGGUGUGGACCGGGGUCACCCCCACCGGUCCAAAAGGAGGGGGUUAACGGGGAUGUUGCUUGAAAGUGGUUGCUCCUGUGCAUCUCCCUCCCUGGUUGCACUAGGCCACUUCUGCCACGAUGUGAUAACAAAGCUCUUGACAAGGUGAAUACUGCUGCCCAACUUGUCAGGUAAGUCAGGAGUGCAAUUGCUUCACUCGACUUAUCGUGGUUUAGUUUGGUGAAGACACAAAAGACUAUUUCCAUCAAUAUAUUGGAGGAGUUCAUUCACAACGCGUCUCUCCACCAUGACAGUCAGGCCCCUCCCCCCUUAAUCACUUUUCUUAAUCACAGAUUAGUUAUUCUUUCCCAAUUCAUUUAAUUUAAAUUCAAGACCUGUAUCCUUUUAUCACAAGUCUUCCUUAGAUCUUUCAUGCCAAAGUCAGAUAACAAGGGAGUACACUGCUUCUUUUCUGUAUUCAAUAAUAUCUUUAUUAAGCUUUAAAGAUAUUCUAAUUAAUGUUCCCCAACCGAUCCACAUCUAAGUUACUGUUUGGAAUUACAUAAUACUAUUUGUUCACUGUAGUAGUUAUGGUACUAACCAGCCCUUGACAUCUCCCUUCAGUUCUGUGUCAAAAAGUUUCUGAGCAGUUUUACACAAACCAAGGAUCCACAGGGCACCUAUUGUCCAUUUUUUAUUUGGCAUAUUGCUAUUGGUGAAGUUAUGCUUUCGCGUUAGCAAUACAAAUUUUUGCCCAAAUUUCGACAGCCUUCAUUGGUCAAGCGUAGCUGUAGUGAUUAUGACACUUAGUGUGUCCUACAAAUGUAAAUUUUUUUACAACAAUAUGUACACUUUAAUUUGAAGAAUAUGUGGAUGAGAUAAUAGCACAAAGGACAAACCCUGAAUUUAUUAUCAUGUAUGUUACAUUGUCGCAUAGUUGUCUAGGUUGAAAAAAGACUGCAGGUUUAGUUUGAAUUUUAAAAGACUGAAUACACAAUGUAAUUAAAUUUUAAAAUUGACUAUUCAAAUGUGUGUUGAAUAGUCAGUAUAAUACAUGGUAAAUAUUUGUGGAGUUGCUGGAUCUCCUAAAGACAAAUAUCAUAGGAUUAUUGUCCAAUUUUUUUCAUCCCUCUUUCUAUCAUAAUAUUCUCCUUAAUUCCACUGUUAAUGAAUGUUAUCUCCUUUACUAGCCAGUAAAUAAUGAUUUUUUUUAUUUAGGUGAGACAUUAUACCAUACAAUAAAGCAUAGCUUGGCAUAAUGAUAAACAAAGACAUAUGUGUAUGCUUCGAUCUGUACCCUUUUUCUAAUAGUUAAAGAAAAUAUGUUUAACUUUUCUAAGAGAACAGUGAGUCCUGAACCCAACUUUACGCUAAUGUUGCAAUAAGUGACGUUGAGUCAUGUCUUUUACAUGGUUCAUAGUGCACCUUUACAUAUGAACAAGGACUUCACUGUGAUUUUCUACCUUUACAAAGGGGACUGCUGGGGGGAGGCAAAAUAUAUAUUACUGAUUUUGGCAUUCUUCACACUUGGAAAUUAGGUUGAUGAGUUGAUGUACCGCAAAGGGGGGACUAAGGUAGCCUAUGUGCCACCUUUCUAACAACAAAGAAAAUUAAAUAAAAUUAAAUUAACUGACAUUAAGUAAGAAAGGGAAAAUAAUAGUUGGAAUGAGGUCCACAAGACUAAGUCUUUUCCACCCCUUGGGACAAAACUAACCACUGUAUUUAUGUCCCAGGUUUGUGUAGUAGAAGAGCCUCUGGGAUCCGGAGGUUAGGUGGAAAGGCCCAAAUGCCCAAAGCAAAGAUGUGGCCUCUUUGGAGAGGACAGUUGAAGUACCCAACUGUCAGUGAUCUUGAUGCAGUCCAAGAGUAGGCCACUCUAGCUUUUCAAAGUUGUCGAGUGACUUGACCCAGCGAUCACCUUUGGAGAAUGGAUCUGGGCAAGUCCUGGUAGAAGGUGAGAUGGAAAGAUUAAAAAACUUUUGGGGUCUUGUCCUGUAGAGCAGCCAUGAGUAAUUUUGGCAUUGGAGUAUAACAUUGCGAGUGGCAGACGAUGGAGCUCUUGGUGUUUUAUUAAUGUAGUAUGUCUAUCAAGCACAAUUUUUUUUAAUUUUUUUUUUGUAGAAGGUAUGAUAGAUGCUGUGAGGCUCCUAACAUAGUGUGGUUAUUCUUCUGUAGCUAUUAAAUCAGAGAUGCCUCUGAUUUUGAUAUUGGCCCAUCUUCUCCUGUCAUAGAGCGUGUGUAUCUGCUGGGCAAGUGCACCCACAGGGCAGGUGCAGUCUGCAUUGCCUGAACCUGCUGCAGAGAUUCCCUCAUCAAGGUCAUGUCCUGUCAGAUAUCAAUAAUGUCUUCCUGGGAGACUUGGAGUCUGACAGUCACUGCCUGGACAUCGUAUUUAACUAAUUCUAGACCUGCUGCAAACAACUUUUAAUGUGCAACAAUAUAUUUUGUAUGUCUUGCUUUGUUGCUGGUGCAUCUCCCUCUGCCAGUAGGGAUGGGAAGAAUGUUUUUACUUGAUGUGUAGGCAUCAUGUUCCCACGGGAAGUUAUCUUAGAAGCAGCAUGGCGCUGAAACAAAGUACCUAUGUCUCUAUUGUCAGUGGAUGUAGAUGCCUAUGGAUUUUGAGAUCCAUGGCCCAUUAUGUUUGAAUUGGGAGAUUGAUAGUAACCUGCAAACCGGGAGCACGCUGCUCCCUGCUGAAAGGAGAGAUAAGCCUCAGAUCGGGAGGAGCUAUGACGUGCCUCUUGAGGGGUAGAAAAAAGGCACCUAUCAAUUGUGCACCCCUGCAGGGCAGAUGCUCAUAAUAUGCCAUUGGAAUAAUUCGGCCACAUCUUGGUAAUCUGUGUUUUCUCCGGUGUAUAUCAAGAGCACUGUAAAAUGUCGUCCACUCAGUACAGAUUCUUGGCUUUUCGCCCCCCCCCCCCCCAAGAAUAAUUUAUUAUUCAAGAGAAUAAUUAAUCUGAAAUUGGAACUAGGUGCAUCCCAUUAGGUAUAAUAGUAUCUCACAUUUAUACAAUAAAUUGAAAACAAAACAAUAUAGAAUAUUAUAAAAAAAAACAACAGUGUCAGAUUAAUGAAAAACAAUUACUAAGAAAAAUAAAAAAAACAGAUUUAUUAUAGGUUUCUCAGCUGUGUGACAGCAGAGGAGAGAAAUACACAACGUGGCAUUCAAAUACUGCUAAGAAGGUACAUUACUCAAAAAUUAAAUAGCAGAUUAAUGAGUUUCGCAACAUCAUCGAAUAGCCCCGUAUAAAGUCAGACAUUUAAUAACCUACAUAAGUGAAAGAUGAGGGAAUAAACAAUGUAAGCACAACUAUAAAUUACAUAACAGUUAGUCUAGAUAUGGCAUAAUGUGUGAAAGCGUGAAUAUGUAUAGUAAUUGCAAAGGAUGUUAGAGAUUGCAUAUGUCACCUGGACAAAUAGCGUACAUUUGUGUGCACUCCUGUGAACAUUCUAGAAUAUUUUGCUUUAAAAACUGUUUGCCUUUAUCACUUUCUGUUGUGCUACUAUGUAACACAAUUACUGUUGUCAGUGCUAUGUGUUUGGUGGUUACAGCAUUCUAUUUUAGUUCUCAAUUUUAUUUUUGCAUCACACGUUUCUUGUUCCAGAGGGGUCUGAACUGCAUUAUAAGCGCUUUUUGAUAAGGUGAUAGAUUAAGUAGCCAUUUUAUAUGUAAGGAUAUAUCAAAUCUAUAUUUUAAACUUGGGUUAAAAGAAAAGAAUGCUAUUUUAAGGGGUUUUGAGUGAAUAACAAUAACAGGUAUAUUGAGACGUUUAUAUUCAGAUCUACAAGCUAUGGUUUUAAAGUUUACAUGACACAAUAUUGUCUAAUGCAGUCAUAAUUAUAUUGCUUAUAUAAUCUAUAUGAAGUGCUCUUGCGCUCAUAGGAAAGCUGUGCUGUACUAUUCUUUGUAGUCAUAGCCGUAUCUCUCAGACCUUUUUAUUUUUAAAAGAAGUACACAGGGGAAGAAUCUAUUUAUCAAUGUAUAAGGGAACAUUGACCCCCCCUAUCAUCUUUCUUAUGGGAGCAGAAUUAGGUGGUCUCAGAUAAAAUACCAGGUCUGUCCUCACAUUAUGUUGCAUAAGUCCCUCAUCUGUCUUCCCAAUUUAAAUUUUAAACUGUUGCUGUGCUCAUUUCAUUGUACUGGCUCAUUACUGUAGCUAUAACUCUGCCUCUGGUUCUUUCAUGUCAAAGGAGGACUUGUACUUCCCUAUUUGCCAGUCAAAAUAUGUGCAACCUGUCUAUGUAACAUUCACAUGCCAAGCAUAAAUCUACCCUCCUGUCUUCUGCAGUUUAGCAAAAAGUCUCCCUCAAACAUUUUAAAACAUUUAUCUAAAUAUUACAUUAAAAGGGGGAAGAGGGCACUUCUACUCCCACAGUGUCCCAUUAAUAUGUUGUACCAUUAUAUUAGAUACCUAUGGCAUAAAAGGUUGUGAAAUUGGUCUCUGUAGUUGGCGUAGGGAAGGCUCUCUCAAUCAUCCAUGUCUUAAAAAAUACUUUUAUUUACUUUUUUUAAAUGUAUUCUUUGUGAUAUUUUGUUGAUACAGCUGACUAUUAUAUAAAAAGCAAUGCUCUUGCUAAAGAUCGUGUUUAUUUUUAAAAAUUCUUUAUUUAUAUCUUGGCACAAUACGCGAUGACAACUCCAAAUAACAAUGAGACAAGUAGAGUGUCCAAGGCAUUUAAAGUUUUUAGAGAACUCAAUAACAUUAUAAUGAAACCAAAAACAAAAAUGAUCCUAUCUCACUGCGAGUUGAAGCAGCAGACCCCCUUUACCGUACCUCAUAAGGUAGAAGUCUCACAGAGCUCCUGCACUUUAGCAUAUGACUUUCAAGAGUGUUAUGGCCAUUGUAUGCGAUCAAAAGCCUUCUCUGCAUCAGGAGAUAGGACUUAAGAUCAGAUUUCAUGAAAGUGUCCAUAGUAGGUCCCUGGGAGCUGUCAGGCCUCCUUAGUCUAAGCUAGCAUCGAGAGCAUGUGAAAUUGCAGGUGUUGUAGCUUUGUAAUGUGACCAUCAUCCACCACCAAUUAACUGGAUUUAACACUAGGUUGUAUUUUGCAUGUAGUUUGUCAACCCUUAUUAGUUGAAGAACAUCAUUGAUAAUUUUAAUGCAAUAAUGUUACCGUUCAUUCAGUGAUACAUUUGCAGUUUAUUGGGUUGGUUCUCUGCUACUAAUAGCACUGUUUCACUAAUCAGCUACUGGGUUAUAAAUUGAGAAUUUGGGCUUUAGCCCUAUAUUAAUCUAUUAUUUUGGUUUACUUCUUCGCCACUGAAUGUCUUGUCAUUAAAGAUCAUUGUUAUUUACAUAAUAGAAAAGAUCUGUACAUGCAGAGUAGAAGGUGUCUGCUUUUGGGACUAGCAGGGAAUGCCCAGAGCAUUCAAUAUGUUUUGACCCGUUUUGUCUUAUGACACAAGAGGCAUUGUUAACGUUCUAAAAUAAUACAAAAUAAAUAUUAAGAGGACUGCAGCAUACAGGGCUAAAACAGGUAAGGCUGUAGUGGAUAUCCAUGACCGUGAUUUCCCCCAUUCAGGUUUAGAUCAAAACAAAAGUGGCUGGUAGAGUUUCAAAUGUUGGCUACAAUGAUGAAAUCCUAUGUUACUGAAUAUUCUUGUAACAUAAAUGGUCAGUGGUGUAUGAUGCUUAUAUUGCAAAGAGGAAUCAACAUGAUGCUAUUAAUUUGAAAGGAUUUUUUUUUUUUUUUUUACAAAAUAUCGUUAGUAGUAGUAUACUACUUAUUUGUUAUUACUAUUUUCCAUGCAAGACAAUAAAGGCACAGUCUCCUGGUAAACAAUAUAAAUCUCCUGCUAUCUUGUUAUGGUGCGCAAGUGUACAAGCACACAUGCAAACACACAAAAGACUGUUGGGCAUCAUCAAAGUAUCCGGAGAUUUGAAUUUCAAGUUAAUGAAUUUAAAACAGUGUAGAGUUUAUCUAUCACUUUGUUACCACUAAAGUCCAAUCAGAGAUGGGCCACUGUUGGUUUUCACAAAGACUAUCCAAUCUUCGUAGAAUUAUUCACGAAAGGAAAUGUUUUUUCUAUGAUCUUAUUUUUAGAGUCAAUAAUCUCAAAAGAAUCUCAUCAACACCUCUUACCUGGAACAACGUACUAAGGCGGUGCACAUGGAGACUGGACAUGUCAACAGACACAAAUUUGUACAGUAUAUAACCGUCUGUUAUCUAUUCUCUCUGCCUAGCAUCCUCCUUUGGAGCAGCCAUACAUUUUUGGAGGACAUACAAAUGUCCCCUUGAUGCUUCUUUGAUACAUUACCCUGAAUCAAGAUUACACGUCAAACAAUACAUUCAGAUAACACUAGUACCUUCAGUUCUUUCUCUUUAAUUCCCCAGUCCUUACUUUCUCUGCACUAAGCUUGUUGUUAGCUUAUUUUGUCUGUUGCCAGCCUUGACAUUUGGCCUGUUGUUGCUCAACCUGUAUUUCCAGAACUAAUCUCCAGCUUAUGUAAGAGUCCUAGACCUUGCACAAAUUGGCCUGAAUUUUUAACUUUGUACCAUUGCUUUAUUUUCCCAUCUUAUCUGGUGCUUGUCCCACCUAUUCGUUUGACUCCAGACUUGCCCGUGAUUACACCAAAGUGCCAGAAAAGUCCCAGUGACCACUAUAUUCAUGGGCUCAACUGGCAAGGUCAAGUGGGUGCUUUAAGUAAGGACUUUCUAAAGUGCCAGUACAUAGACAAGCUUAUCUUUGCAUAGCUAUAUCCAGAUCCCCUCUACUAUUGUAACAAUAGUAACCCCCUUAGAUGCCAGACAGCUCAAAAAGAUCUCAAGAGAUCUGAGGGGAUAUUAUUUCACUUGCGUAUAUAAAUAAUCUUUCUAUACCUCUUCCUAUCCAGAGGUAGGUAAACACUUACAAGUACUUUGUUCCUUUAUAGGUACAUAAUAUUUUAAUGGCAAUAAUGUGUCUUCUUGGUAUUUGAAGUUUCUUACUGAGAAGCAUUGCUGUCUGUAUGCCAAAUAGUUCUGUAUUGCAACUUUUCAAAAAAUAUAAUAGACCUUAGCAUAUCAUGCCAUUCAUACUGUGGAGUGAUUGGGACAUUGUCCCAAGUACAUUUACAAUGAAUAACCAAUUAAUAACUAAUCUAAUUUGUUUUCAUAUUGAUUAUUUGCAUUGACAUAAAAAAACAAAAACCUGGAGGGUGUUACAGCAGGGGGAGAAUUUAAAGUGAGAUGAGGAACUCGAUGAAGGGGAGAAAAUAAAGUGGACAGGAGUGAAGAAGAGACAAAUUGUCAAUUGUUCCCUAGUACACUAUUUAUCGUACAGUACCAAUCCCAGUAUAUUCAGUAUACCUGUCCCCAAUAAAGUCCUCCACUCCAACACUCCAACUCAUGAAGUCUUCUCCCUAUCAUCAAGACAUCUUUCACAUAGCACAGGUUUCACCCUCAUCUCUAGUUAGUGAUAAAAGGAUUGCUGGAGAGGCCGUCGAAGGAUACAGAUGUGGAUACAAGCAAAAAAAAAAAAUAAUAAAACAAGGGGCAAAUUAGAGUUAUAAAGAGUUUUGAGUGAGAGGUAGGGAUACAUUAGGGGGCAUAGCACUGGAUAAUUCCGUAAGGGGCAACAUUUUUGGAUGAGCCCUGUUUGCUCUCCUUUUGAUUGUAUUCUAGGACUUCCUAUAUAGAAUUUGAUGGUUUAUUUCACGAUCAUGUAAUGAGUCUGAUAUUUUUAAGGAUGUAUAUGUCAUUCACGUAUUUUCUCCUUAAAUUGGAACAGAAAGAGACAGAGGAGUUGCAUUAAAAUCAUUGCUCAAGAAUUAGUUAAUACCCACAUUUUCCUGCCCCAUUUGCGGUGGUAUUGCUGAAGGUUUCAUAUACUGUGUGCACUAUCUUAUUCCUCCCCAGGGAAAAUACGUGUUGACUACAUGAAUCCUGAAAGGCUGUUCAUAUCACAAGGGGUAAUAUUUGGUCAACACGGCAAUAAUGUAAAGGAUUUUCAAGUAUAAUUAGAUGCACAUGAUUAUUCUUUCAAACUAAAAUUAGAAAAGAAAAGGUUAAAAUGUAUAAUCCCAUCUAUGUUUUUCUUCGUAUGUGUUGUUGCUUAUUGCUAAUUAUUCUAACUAGUUAUUCUGCUAUCUUGGCCACAAGAUUAACGGAAAAUCUUUCAAAAAGAAAAAAAAAAAUAAUACGCCAAUGUUUUGCAAAAUAAUUGACAAAAGCUCAAAAGCUAGUGUUUUCUAAAAAAUUUUUUAUGUUUUAAUGAAAGUGUUUUUUCAUGCUUGUCAAGUCAUGCACUCACAUCGUCUUACCAUAAAUUAAUAUAUUUUGCCAAGAAAAGUACAUAGCAUAUUCUUCAUUAAAAUGUUUAUUUUAAUUGCUGCAAUUGCUAAAGGAUUAAAUAUUUAUUGAUAUGAUAAUAUAUUUUAUGAAAGUAUACUGUAUAGUUUGAAUAAUUAUUCAAAGUAUGUUAAAUCGAAAUUAUUUGAUCAGAAAAAUGUUGGAAACACAUUUCCUCAUCUGCCAAUGUUUGGGAAUCAAGCGAGAUUGGGCACUGGAUAUAAAGACCCUUUUCCCCUUUAAAGAGCAAUGUGUAAUGUAUUUUGUUACCACUCAUGUGUUGUAAUAAACAUUUUUUUUUUAAUACAAAACAAUAUAAUAUUUAAA
Non-coding RNA from Pelobates cultripes (western spadefoot toad), 13435 nucleotides. The record is from the annotation of a GenBank genome assembly. NCBI's taxonomy places the organism in Eukaryota, Metazoa, Chordata, Amphibia, Anura, Pelobatidae.